GCCUCAGAAUGCAGUGGUGGAGACUAUGAAUAACUUUGGCAAUUAAGAGCAAGGCAUGCAUGACAAACCCUUCUUUGUAUUUUUUUUAUUCAUAAAAACUAUCUGAAGAAAAUCUUAUAUUUCUUCUGCUUCUUUUUGUACAGGUCUAUGGCUGGUUUCUCACACCCAGAAUUGCCCUCCUAUCACCACUUGAAAUUUAUGGUGAGCAAUUCUCUGACAUGAGUGUCUGGUGGUAGACUUGCACAUGGAGUGUGAUUAGGCCAGACUUCCUUUUUGGCAAAAUGAAAACCCUAAACCAUGGCACUUGAAGUGGAUCUUUUCUUGGACUGGCAUAGGGAGGUGUGAAAAUUACUCUGGUUUUAGUGAUGAUGGUUGUUGAGAACAAAAGUGACUCUCAAACACAACCUUAAAACCAAAUGUGAUUGCAGCUCUUGAAGUAUCAAUAUGAGGAGUGUAUUUUGAUUUCGAACUGAAUCUCCUGCAAAGAGAAUUGAAUGUAA
RNAcentral lists this long non-coding RNA (500 nucleotides) under Physcomitrium patens. RNAcentral's name for it is "long non-coding RNA (PPAT_LNC014206)". The record is from RNAcentral. Lineage: Eukaryota; Viridiplantae; Streptophyta; Bryopsida; Funariales; Funariaceae.